RNAcentral lists this transfer RNA (72 nucleotides) under Alligator mississippiensis (American alligator). RNAcentral's name for it is "tRNA-Trp (CCA) (tRNA-Trp-CCA-3-1)". It matches the Rfam family "tRNA". From Rfam's summary of the family: Transfer RNA (tRNA) molecules are approximately 80 nucleotides in length. Their secondary structure includes four short double-helical elements and three loops (D, anti-codon, and T loops). Lineage: Eukaryota; Metazoa; Chordata; Crocodylia; Alligatoridae. RNAcentral also lists the same sequence under 1 other name. The record is from Rfam by way of RNAcentral.
GGCCUCGUGGCGCAACGGUAGCGCGUCUGACUCCAGAUCAGAAGGUUGUGUGUUCAAAUCACACCGGGGUCA